RNAcentral lists this long non-coding RNA (259 nucleotides) under Trifolium pratense (red clover). RNAcentral describes it as "long non-coding RNA (TPRA_LNC011813)". Lineage: Eukaryota; Viridiplantae; Streptophyta; Magnoliopsida; Fabales; Fabaceae. The record is from RNAcentral.
AAAAGGAAUGCUUGUAUUUCAUUUCAUUUUAUCAAUCAAUAAACACUUUGAUCACUCUUAUCUCAUGCUUCCUCUCAAGUUUUCAUUCUUCAUUACCAUCUUUAAGAUUUAGAAACAUUUUAUUGCNNAGUACUUAAAUUUGAAACAAAAUUAAACUGGGAAAGCACUAUUCCAGGUUCCUGCAUCUAUAAAGUGUAGACUGCUUGAGCAUGCGAGAGUGGGAGGGAGUAAGGUUUGUUUGAUUUGUACAAGAACAAUC